GGACUGUAAGUCUUACUUAGUGUAAGGCUCGGAUGCUGAAUUGGGGAAAAUGAAUGAGUGGAAGUGAUGUUGGGCACCAGCAGAACAAGGAAAUACCAGAGGAGAGGCAGAGGGGGACAGCUGGUAGAAAGCUGAGGGAACCGUACCUUUCUCCACGGAGAAUGCAGAACCCACCCCAGGCAUGUUGCUGUUUUUACACCACAUACCUCAGCUGGAGAGAAAACUUCGUAUCCUGAGAUACAUCACAACAAACCACAACUCCGUGAAGCACUAUUCCUCUAUUCUGACCCUUUAUCCUGUUCUGUUCUUUAUCCGACCAAAUCCCAGGGAGCUCCAUCCAACUCCAAGGAUAUCCCUGAGAGGGAGACUCACAGGCGGGGCUGUCGGCAAGCCUCAGACCAGGACCGUGCACUGGAAGGAAGGUGGGAAUGCCCUCCUGUGGCCUCUGAUGGGAGGAUAACCAAGAAACUGAGGUUCUGGAAGACCUGGGGACCUGGGCCAGCAUAUCAUUCUCCUCUCCAGGUGGUUCUGGGGCUCCGUGUCAGGGUGAGGCCUGAUGUGAAGAAGAAGGGGGUUAUGGCCUGAGCUCUGUAGCCUGGUUCAUGGGGGAAAGAAGCCAGACUGCUGAAAAAAGGAUAUAUAUUCCCGAGUAAGGAAUGUGUGUAGGUCAGGUGUUAGGGCCACUGAGUUCCAUGCCCUCGUAUCUAUCGUCGCUGUCACCUCCCAGAAUCCUCGAACUCUCAUUUGUACUAUGACAAUAACCUCUUGGUUGGUCUCCUUGCCUCCAUUCUUUCUGCCCAUGGUUUUGCCAGAAUGAGCUUUUGAAAAAGCGUAUUAAGUCAUGUCAGCUUUUAUUUUCAAAAUCUUUCAAAAUCUUU
Molecule: long non-coding RNA, 878 nt
Organism: Mirounga angustirostris (Northern elephant seal)
Lineage: Eukaryota; Metazoa; Chordata; Mammalia; Carnivora; Phocidae
Exons: 3
Source: RefSeq, a predicted model, not a curated record